Molecule: long non-coding RNA, 350 nt
Organism: Corapipo altera (White-ruffed manakin)
Lineage: Eukaryota; Metazoa; Chordata; Aves; Passeriformes; Pipridae
Exons: 3
Source: RefSeq, a predicted model, not a curated record
UCCAAGACCUAGCAAAGCCUGGCUGAAUUUUCAGGUUGUUUAAUCUCCCCGCUGUUUUAUAUUAAAGGGAUAAUGGUCACAGACAGGAACCGCUGACACUUGUCAGGCUGCUAUUGUUGCCUGUUUGCUGGUACAUCAUGCUCUUAUGGUGGAUACCCAGUGGUACCUGACAGAAAGAAACAAGGCAGAUUUACUGGGAUCGCUGAAAAAAAAUCCAUCAUUUGCAGGUUCCCACAAAGCCAAGGAUGAAACUUAGGAACUUUGAUGAUUCCUAUUAGAAGAAAAAAUUGGUGUGUCAUGUCUAGUUCUCCCACUGCAAGAAGUUCACAGGACAAAUUAAGCCAUUAAAC